AGCUGCGCGUCGAGCACAUAGCGAACUAUUCUUUCGCCUUUUACUAAAGAAUACCGUGUGCUCGUCGCUUAAAAGCAGCAUACGCUACUUUUUGGAAGGUGUUUUCUUCUGUAGAAAAC
This is a small nuclear RNA of Salvia hispanica, 119 nucleotides long. RefSeq annotates it as U5 spliceosomal RNA. Lineage: Eukaryota; Viridiplantae; Streptophyta; Magnoliopsida; Lamiales; Lamiaceae. The record is from RefSeq and is a predicted model, not a curated record.